Molecule: ribosomal RNA, 457 nt
Filed under: Microctonus aethiopoides
Lineage: Eukaryota; Metazoa; Arthropoda; Insecta; Hymenoptera; Braconidae
Description: eukaryotic LSU rRNA
Source: RNAcentral
AAACCGUUCAGGGGUAAACCUGAGAAACCCAAAAGAUCGAAUGAGGAGAUUCAUCGUCAGCACACCUAGUAUAUGUACAAGUUAUGAUACGAGUUAUUAUUCUUGUAGUAAUGCUUGUACGUUCUUGUAUUAUUUUUGCUGGGAGUUGUCGGCGUGCACUUCUCCUCUAGUAGGACGUCGCGACCCGUUGGGUGUCGUUCUAUGACCCGGAUGGUAGCCUUUAUUUCUUUAUUGAUUUAAAGACCACUGGUGAUCUGAUCGGCUGCCCGGCGGUAUUCGCACGGUAUUGAGUCGCAAUAUAAUUUAUUUGCGUUGAGCCCGUUGCAAGCGCGGCCAUUCUCCCGGUAGUGCGGAUUUAAUGCCGUCAUUGGGGCUGGCCAGCUGUUGGUUGACGGUGUUCUUUAACUGGCUCAUUUAUUACCGGUCAGCGACGCUAUUGCUUUGGGUACUUUCAGGA